GGCCGCAUGGCGCAGUGGCAACGUGCUUGCUUUUGGUUAGACACGUCCCGGGUUCGACCCCCCAUGAGGCAA
Non-coding RNA from Caenorhabditis brenneri, 72 nucleotides. The record is from the annotation of a GenBank genome assembly. NCBI's taxonomy places the organism in Eukaryota, Metazoa, Nematoda, Chromadorea, Rhabditida, Rhabditidae.